GGCACACCCAUCGCGCUGCCCCGCCCUAGUGCUCGGAGCUGCUUCUGGCUUCUCCAGCUCCCGGAGCGCGUCUCUCCGCAAAGAGCUGUGGUAAGAGCUCGGGCCACCGCGGGGCGACUGCGAUUCAGGGUCCCAGGGCUAAACUCAGGAAAGGCGGAUUAAGGGGAGGACGCUGGAGCUGUAGGCGGGGCCUCCACGACACCCGAGGACUCCCUAACGACCCGGUCUGGAAGUUCCUUGCUGAGGUCCUAGCUGAGGCCGCUGAGGUUGCUGCCAGAGUUUAAAAGUUUUAAAAAUACGAAUGGUGGCUUUCUAUGAAGCGUGUUUUCUAGAACUCUCAGUAGCCCUGAGCCGCUGGUGUCGCUAUGCUCUGUCCCAGAGUGAAGGAGGUGGUCACAAACCCAGGCUGCGUGAUAGCUGUAGGGCUGCACACAAACCGUGGAAGACUGAUGAAUAUGCAUACACCUGUUCGCUGUGCAUCUUGGAGCCUGAAGGAUUUCCUUCUGGAAUGGGAAGAAUGGCAGGAACUAGCAAGAGCUGUACGCAAGGCGACAACUUGUGAAGGGGCCAGGGGUGGUUUAAUGGGUGAAAACACUUGCUGCCAAGCCCGAGGAGGACAUGAGUUUGAUCCCCGGGACCCCCGUGAUGGAAGGGCAGAAUGGACUUCCACAAGUUGUGGUGCCGUACCUCGUAAGUAUACGGAAGGACACAUCACUGGCAUGUAAUAAGCAACCCGCUGGAGAAGUGGUAAAGUCGAGAUUCAUAAAGCAUUCCGGAUAUUAAACGCCCUGCAGGUUUUCUCAGUGGAGUAAAUAAAGACAUAAUGUGUUAAGUGGUUACAGAAACACAUUUACUCAUAACUGUCAGUGAGACAUGGGUGAGCACCAAGGGGCUAAAGACACAUUCCCACCCUUUCCUGGAGCUACAUUAGAAAGCAGUAAAUACCGUGGAAGGAAGAAAAUGGCUGCAGCCAGUGACUUUUAGGGUCACUUUAAAUUUAAUCCAGGGUGGCCCUCUUCAGAUCAAAGUGGGAAGGCUUGAAAGUCAAGAAAAUAUCGUUAUAUGAAGCCUUGGUGGUAGAAUGUACCAAAAAUAAAAAAUAAAAUAAAUAAAAAUCCUGCUAUCUUGUUACCGGACUAACCAUAUAUGGCAGACUUAUGUCUCCUUCCAUUC
This 1173-nucleotide long non-coding RNA is filed under the name Mus musculus (house mouse). RNAcentral's name for it is "long non-coding RNA chr8:117802061-117803234". The record is from RNAcentral. Lineage: Eukaryota; Metazoa; Chordata; Mammalia; Rodentia; Muridae.